Long non-coding RNA from Mauremys reevesii (Reeves's turtle), 280 nucleotides. RefSeq lists it as uncharacterized. The record is from RefSeq and is a predicted model, not a curated record. Lineage: Eukaryota; Metazoa; Chordata; Testudines; Geoemydidae. The transcript has 3 exons.
CAAGAACUCCCAGAGGAGGGAUGAAGUCACAGAGGACUGGAGAACAGCAAACAUAGGCAGGAGUACGGGUGAAAUUGGGGAACAGACUGAUCAGGUUUUGCGGUGCACACAUCCAACUGCAGCCAUCAAAGGAACAUGAAACAAUCUACUGUUGUGAAGGAACAGGAAGGGAGAUGUAAGAAUAAUCCCAUCACUUAAAUGAGGAGUCAGAUGAAGAGACCUCCACUUGUGUGACUGACACAUUUUUUAUGUGAAUGAUGGAUGGCAGAAUGGCUGCCAU